GCGCCGGUGGUGCAAAGGCGUAGAGCAUUCCCGCCCGGUCAGAGGGAGGUGCGGGUUCGAGUCCCGCCUGGCGCU
This is a non-coding RNA of Heligmosomoides polygyrus, 75 nucleotides long. NCBI's taxonomy places the organism in Eukaryota, Metazoa, Nematoda, Chromadorea, Rhabditida, Heligmosomidae. The record is from Rfam.